CUCGCCAUCCAGCCCCGGUCCCUUUCCAAAAUCGCCGACGAGCGGCGAAGCCGCGGGCAGGCCGGGAAUGACUCACGCAGCAACGGGAGCAACAGAGGCAAACAGGCGCACGCAGCCGCACGCCUGCGCGUGCUCGUUAUGAAUGAUUAAUCCGGCGCUGAUGAGUCACCGACAGGGAAGGGAAGGGAAGAGGGGGGGGGGGGGGGGAGGGGAAGGGGGGGGGCGGGGCGCAGCGCUGCUCGGGGUGGGAGCCCCGCAGCCCCUUCCCCGUCCCUGGGAGGGUGUCAGGGCAGCCAAAGCCCCCGGGGGCUCUCCGUGCACCCAGCGGCACCCUUGGGUGCAUGGUGCAGCGGGGAACGGGGGGGUCCCCACACAGCCGCCCCCUUCUCCACGCACACGGGGGGCAGCGAGGGCCACGGGGGACCCAGCCCAGCGCCCCCCGGGACCCGGCACCGCUCUCGGGGGCUGUGGGCAUGGAUGGGGACAGCAGCAGGGGGGCCGGGGGGCCCCCGGGACGCCCACGGCCUCGCUGCCGAAGGCGGGGUCUGGGUGCGGCGGUGGCCAAGCCGCGGGGCAGUGUGGGAUGGAAGCCGCCACCGUCCGCUCCCCACCUCGGUGCCGGCUUAAAAAAAGCCACCCCGGGGGCAGGAGGGUAGAGUUUUCCCCCCCCUCAGGAUGCCUCCGUAUUGGGGAGGGGGCUCCAAGCUCCGGAGCAUCCCCUGGGAUCGGGGCUGCUCGGCCUCACGUGGGAAAGCGCAGCCGCGGGGACGGCACCGAGGGGCCGGCUUGGGCAAGAGCGAAAAUCACAGCCAAGGGUCACCGGCGCCGCCGUCCCCUUGCUCCUGGUGUCCCACGGGGAUCCCCGGCUGCCCCUUUUUGGGGUUGGGGCAGCAGGGGGGGCACGGGGGCUGCUCAGGACGCAGCCCUCCUCGGGGGGCUCCGGCUGCCUCGCACGCUUGCUCCACGUUUGCUCCCCUUUGGGGCCAGGACGGGGCACCCCCAAAAAUCCACUCAGGGCACAGAUGUCCCCAAGCACGGAGCCACACGGCCUCGCCACCGCCAAAACGAGACAUCCCCUAACAAGGGGGGGACAGGCAGGGCUGCAGCCCCCCCCCCGGUGACUCGGAGGGCAGGAGGCACUCACAGCCCUGCAAUCGCAGCCCCGUUGCCGCCCCCAAAAGCUCUUUGGCCUGCAAAAAGCGUCGCUGCUCCAAGGGCUGCACGGGGCACCCUG
RNAcentral lists this long non-coding RNA (1234 nucleotides) under Anas platyrhynchos platyrhynchos (common mallard). RNAcentral describes it as "lncRNA (ENSAPLG00000028066.1)". Lineage: Eukaryota; Metazoa; Chordata; Aves; Anseriformes; Anatidae. The record is from RNAcentral.